Molecule: long non-coding RNA, 2939 nt
Organism: Sciurus carolinensis (gray squirrel)
Lineage: Eukaryota; Metazoa; Chordata; Mammalia; Rodentia; Sciuridae
Exons: 4
Source: RefSeq, a predicted model, not a curated record
GUACAUACGGAGCCGCUGACCAAGACUCGAUGGCCGCUGCAUUUUAAUGUGUGUUCUUUGUGCACCGCUGGGCCUUCACCCAGCACAAACCCCCAAACUGGGAGGCUUAAAAGCGGAAACACUUUUGCAUAAUUAGCCAGUCAAGGGGACACGCUUCAAAAUAAGACAUCGGAAGGGCUUGCCGUGGACAGCUGGGAGCAGAGCCGGCUACCCGGCAAUUAGUGGUGAAGCUGUCCGGUUCACUGCCCAGCCUGGGGCAGUCAGUGAUCCCUUCCUUUGCUGUUGGCCUGCAGCCCAGCUGCCCAGGGCUGGGUCUUCUUGAGGAGAGUCCUGCAGGGGGAAAAGGCCAAGAGGAAGACAGCCGUGGAGACGCAGAGACGUGGAAGAACAGGAGCCAGGAUGGCAGCCCCAUCUCAGCCUCCUCGCCCACCAACCAAGGGGUUUCCAUGGAUGCGUCCCGGCCUCCCCUGCUCCUGGGCCCUGGGAUUUGGGUUAUUUGCUCAGUCAUGGCUGGAUUGUGGCUCCAGCAGACAUUUCCUUCGAUUUAAAGUGUUUGUUCCGGGAGAAGAGCCGCAGCGCUGUCCAUUAUUCCUCCAUAUUGAUGGUGUGGAAAUUGGCUGUGUGUCCAGUCGCUUGGCGGCUGAUUCGGUAUUUCAAUCAAGCAGCUUGUGUGCUGGACUGUUAAGGUGGCCAAGCUGCUUCCCCCAGAGGAGAACAUGGACUCUCUUCCUCCACAUCCUUCCGAUUCUGCAGGGGCUGGGCUUCCAGGUAGGCUCCACCUUGCCCCUGAGGUGGGUCAACAUUCACCUGGAGGAAAUGGGUCCCUGCUCAUCUUCAUGCCCAGGUGAGGCCGUGAGCAGACAAUGGAUGAAGACCUGAGGCCGCCUCAUGGAGCUCCAGAGCCAUAGCAACCCAUCAUAGGUAGCACGCGGAUGCUGGUGGAGCUCCGCGUCGCCCCUGAUGUGGUGAGGGAGUCAGGAGCCAGCCAGUGUCAGGGUCUGCACGGGAGGUGCCCGUGCCAGGGUGGCGUCACUGGGGCCAGACGAGCUGCAGCCGGCGCCCGGGCGGCGUGUGUGUGGCACUCACGUUAGCGUGUCCAGGAGAAGCGUCCAGGACUCACGGAGAGCGCCGCCGGGAGCCGCGUCCCCCAGGCAUCUCACGCUUGCUCGUCUCACGCGCACGACAAGGUUUACUCUUAGACGUUUCGAGGUGGUGAAACUUGGAUAAGAAGCUCUCUCAAGGGCACUUGCCCGUCCGUGGCUCCCUGCCAGUGAGCUGACGCCAACUCCUCCCGGGCCUCUGGGACCCGACCCUGGUUUCCAACGGCUUCCGCAGGGGAACUGCUCCCUCUGCAGCCGAGCUUGCCCUCCCGCUCCGCCUCUGGUGCUCUGUGGCUGCGCCCCUGGUUUGGAGGAGGCUCUUUACACCGUGUUUUAACCUUAACGACAGAACGUCUGGGUCCCUCCAGAGUCUGCAAGUUCCGGCUCCCCGUGCGAUGGGGUUUGGGCCUGGGGACUUUGGAGGAGACUGGAUGACGAGGUGGAUUAAUGCCUGGUAAGAAGACUCACCAGGCGUUCUCGCCUCUCUCCCUCCGCCUCUCCCACCUUCUCUGCUGUGUGAGGACCUGGUGAAGGGGCCAUCUGCAAUCAGGAAGAGGACCCCACCCUGAGGGCACCCUCUUGUGCACAGUGCCCCUUGUCUGGUCUGGUCACUUUGCCAUGGCGCUCGGAGAUGACCAAGACAGUGCGCUCUGCCCGCCAGGGGCCAUCGAGUUCCCGUGGUGCUGUGUGAGCCUCGCAGGGGGCGGGCCUGGCCACAGAGGCAGGCGCGUGGGAGCUCCGGAAGGACAGAUCUCCACUCGUGGACAGACGCCUGGUAGCUGCCCCUCGGGCACUUGGGAAGCGACUCUCGAGAGCCCCGGUUUCCACGCUCCUGGGUCCUCAGGAUGCAGUGCUCGUGGGGACCAUCUCCCCGACAGAGUGCCUCCUGGGCUGCGGCGUCUGGGAGGUCGUGACCUUGGAACGGCAGAGUGGCCUCGCGGUGCCAGGGGCGCUGCCGUUGGUCAGAGGGCUCUCCGCACACCAGGGGCCCGAGCGGCCAGGUGCGCCCGGCCAGGCUCGUCUGAAGGAUGCAGCGUGUGGGGAGCACAUCUGAGCUGGCCCCCGCUGCCCGUUAUUUGGGAUGGGUGUAUCUGGGAGUGACAGGGCCCCGCCCAGGUCUUCCCGAGGAGGCUGGGGUGGGGCUGGAGGAGCGGAGGCCGGGAGGAAGGAGACUGCACGGGCGCUGGUCCAGGUCCCCAUGCUCCCUAAGGUCGUCAUCAAAUGUGACUUUCCGAGUGCUGGCCUGGUGCUGCGGGCGCGAGACCUGAGUGUGCUGGAUCCACAGGAAGCCGCGUUCCAGACGGCCUGCCCCACGGUCCCCGCGCCCGGCAGAGGGGAGCCAGCCUGGCACACACGGGAGAGGUUUGGCUCAGACCUUUGAGUCUCGCGUAGCUCGGACUCGUCUUCAGUGGGUGCAGGUGGGCACAGCGCCAAGACCCCAGCCCGGCGGCCCAGCACGUCCCAUCCCAGAUCUGACUGCCAGCCCUUCCGCACAGGAGCAGAGAUCUUCACCCCUGGGGAGAUCCCUGGGGAAAGGGUUUGCUCAGCCUCAGGGCGGAGCAGACCUGUGCCUACAGAGCCCCGGAACCUGCUGCGCCUUAGCAGGGCCGCUGCACUGACGGGCGGCUUUCUGCACCAGCGCGGGUCCCUGGCCACACCUUCGCUCCUUGGCCCAACAGGAUCAGCCAAGUGCCUGUCAAAGACCUAGUGAGCGACACUCUCGGCAGGGUGAGGAGCUCCCCAGCACCCUCCCAGCCAGCCGUGCUUCCACUCGUGCGUGUGUGUGUGUGUGCAUGCCUGCGUGGGGGCAUGUGUGUGUGAGUGCAUGUGAGUGUGCGU